RNAcentral lists this unclassified non-coding RNA (152 nucleotides) under Legionella longbeachae NSW150. Its description in RNAcentral is "t44". The stretch from base 66 to 151 matches the Rfam family "t44 RNA". Rfam says of the family: This family consists of a number of bacterial RNA genes of between 135 and 170 bases in length. The t44 gene is found between the map and rpsB genes in all species in the full alignment apart from Shigella flexneri. Lineage: Bacteria; Pseudomonadati; Pseudomonadota; Gammaproteobacteria; Legionellales; Legionellaceae. The record is from RNAcentral.
AGCACAAUCUAAAAAAAAUGAUUUUUAAGUAAAUUUAAUUGAUGAAUCUUAUCUAAUAUGUUAUAAAUGACGCGCUUUAAAUACACACACGUUUCGGCACAUAUGAUAGGGUCCCUUUGUGGGUUUCGUAUGGGAAGCGUGGAGGAAUAACC